AAUAGAUACCCCGGUAGUCCACGCCGUAAACGUUGGGCGCUAGAUGUGGGGAUCUUUCCACGGUUUCCGUGUCGUAGCUAACGCAUUAAGCGCCCCGCCUGGGGAGUACGGCCGCAAGGCUAAAACUCAAAGGGAAUUGACGGGGGCCCGCACAAGCGGCGGAGCAUGCGGAUUAAUUCGAUGCAACGCGAAGAACCUUACCAAGGCUUGACAUACACCAGAACACGCUAGAGAUAGCGGACUCUUUGGACACUGGUGUACAGGUGGUGCAUGGUUGUCGUCAGCUCGUGUCGUGAGAUGUUGGGUUAAGUCCCGCAAUGAGCGCAACCCUCGUCGCAUGUUGCCAGCACGUUAUGGUGGGGACUCAUGUGAGACUGCCGGGGUCAACUCGGAGGAAGGUGGGGAUGACGUCAAAUCAUCAUGCCCCUUAUGUCUUGGGCUUCACGCAUGCUACAAUGGCCGGUUACAAAGGGCUGCGAUGUCGUAAGGCGGAGCGAAUCCCAAAAGCCGGUCUCAGUUCGGAUUG
This 526-nucleotide ribosomal RNA is filed under the name uncultured bacterium. RNAcentral describes it as "bacterial SSU rRNA". It matches the Rfam family "Bacterial small subunit ribosomal RNA", at positions 777 to 1300 of the family's 1533-position model. The record is from RNAcentral.